UACGUAGGGCGCAAACGUUGUUCGGAAUUACUGGGCGUAAAGCGCGUGUAGGCGGCCCGAAAAGUCGGAUGUGAAAGCCCUGGGCUUAACCUAGGAAGUGCAUUCGAAACUGUCGUGGCUUGAGUUCUGGAGAGGAAGGCGGAAUUCUCGGUGUAGAGGUGAAAUUCGUAGAUAUCGAGAGGAACACCGGUGGCGAAGGCGGCCUUCUGGACAGUGACUGACGCUGAGACGCGAAAGCGUGGGGAGCAAACAGG
RNAcentral lists this ribosomal RNA (254 nucleotides) under uncultured bacterium. RNAcentral describes it as "partial 16S ribosomal RNA". It matches the Rfam family "Bacterial small subunit ribosomal RNA", at positions 524 to 776 of the family's 1533-position model. The record is from RNAcentral.